Long non-coding RNA from Aquila chrysaetos chrysaetos, 1976 nucleotides. RefSeq lists it as uncharacterized. The transcript is spliced from 4 exons. The record is from RefSeq and is a predicted model, not a curated record. NCBI's taxonomy places the organism in Eukaryota, Metazoa, Chordata, Aves, Accipitriformes, Accipitridae.
UACACCUUUUACAAGGUUAAAACUUCUUAGCAACACUUGAAGGCUCUCUCUUGGGAUCAGCAGAAUAUUCACUUGUGUUUGGAACUGCUGCUGUAACAUAUUUGUCACUGUCUAUUGCCAAGACAACAGAAUAUACACAUCUGAAGAAAUAAGACAAGGCAUCUGUGCUGCAGACAACCAGCCAAAAUGAUGACGUUUCCAGCCACAGGAGGAGGAUGAUCUGAUGCACUACAUUUAUAAUCAGGAGUUCAGAGUUAAAAUCCUACUUCAGACAAAACUGGACAGCAUGUUCUGGGCAAGUUUUGGACUUUGAUGGAUUUUUCACAUUCUUCUACAAAGGUAUUGGGGAUUUUUGCCAUGUCUCAGCAAGGUGUUUACAUUCUUCAGCUCACAGCAGCAGUCCCCAUGUCCAUCCACCAGAUGAAAACAUAACAUGCGCCCCUGCUCUUACACACAGAAGAGGCAGGGCUUCCAGGGAAGCUGGUAUGUAGUAUAAUUCCUCAUCUAUAUCAUAUUCUACUUAAAAAUAUCUUUGCUGGUGGACACACAAGCAAAUUAGAAUCAAGUUCUGGUUUAGGUUUUCACCCCUAUUGAACGUUUUGGCAGUUCAGGACUUCUACAGCUGCAAAUCAAAACUCCCAAGGAUUUGAGGAUCAAGAUUUGGAUUGAGGCAAGAAACUAGUUUGAGUAUAUGGUUUUCCUGUUGAUAAUUAACGUGGCAACACUGCAUGGAAUACGAAAAAAAUGCCCAUAGAGGAAAGCUGUACCCAGGGCUCAGAAACCAAAACCACGGGUGACUCUCCUUCACAAGGCUAGGCUCAGGUUUCAUCUGACACCUCUAAAUAACAAGCAGAGCUCCAUUUCAUACAGACACAAUUUUGUCAGCUUGGUUGGUUUUCUUGUUUUUCAGCUAGCUAUCCAAGAGCCAUCUGAUUCAUUUGGUAACUUGAAAGUCAGCUCUGCAUUAACCUGUGUUAACUUCAGGGAGGGUGAAGGCAGAGGAAAACAAGGAAAAUACAUGCAGUCACUGGUGGAUCCACCCCUAAGCCAGAGGAUUCUCCUAAACUCACAAGAUUAUAGCAGAGUCUCAAAGGAUAUGCUGAUCCACUGGACAGCUGUUAGUGACUACUGCAGCAGCUUUGCUACACAGACCUCUCUUCCUCCCUCAGGCUGCCUUGGUCUGAAUGUAUCACAGUGCCACGGGUGAAUUAAAAGGAGCGUUCUCUCCAGUUUCUUAUGCAAUGUAUGCCAUUCCAAUAGGAAAGUGGGAAAUCAUUAGUUUAUAUCCUUUACUAUCUAGGGCAGGCAGGUGUAUGAAUUACAUUUUCCAACUUAAUAACUCAAAAUCAGAUUUUCUCUUCAACACUGAAAACUAUAUUGUAAAGUCUCUACUAGUUUACAAAUUUGCAGUCUCUCCUGCUGCAGAGAAAAAGAGUGCAUGUCGUACAUCUUUCAAUGCCAUCUACUGCAACCACACUGAAAAUACUGUGCAUAAAGUUUUCUGCCUUAUAGCAAAAACGUGCUGCUUAUAAUCCUCUUAUUGACUAAAGCAGAUGGAAUCAUUUUCAGUGUCUCUAUCCAAAAAGCAUAAAAGAUUUAAGUCUAAAAGCUGCACAUCCAAACAUAAAUUACAGUCAGUUGAGAAAACGAAGUCAACUCAAAUUGGCUUUAGAAUUUUCUGUGCAGCCUUAAUAGAGUGCCUGACAAGGCCUCAUCAACCAAUUUAUGCAUAGGAUCACACUCAUUUCCAUUAAUCAUAAAUAAAUAUGUUUCAUACAGUGUCCCUGUGUGCACAGAUCUAUACUGAAACAGACUCGGGAUCUUUUGCUCUCAAAGAAUGACAAGAAAUGGCCUAGAAGAAAGACUGACCGCUGCUAUAUGCAUGUGGGUGAGUGCAACAAAUGCCCCUCGGGGUUGCCACCACAGGGGGACAGUGCCCCAGGGCUCUGCACUUGCUAGCAACAGCGGCUGCUUUA